UUGAAUUUUAAUGAAGAGUUUGGUUGUAGCUGGCCCAUUCAUUUGGGCAUGUGCACACCUUCCUCUUUCAUCCCACACACACCUGUGAACCUGUGAGACAGAGAUGGGGAAUUUACUUGCUGCUUUUUGGAAUACAAAGGCAAUAGGUUAAUGGACCCCCCCUCUGUCUACUCAAUUAAUAUAAACUCAAUUUAUUUUAAAACGAAUGUAAUGGAUGUAACACAUCUCAUAC
RNAcentral lists this unclassified non-coding RNA (232 nucleotides) under soil metagenome. RNAcentral describes it as "partial internal transcribed spacer 1". The record is from RNAcentral.